AACGCACAUUGCGCCCGCCAGUAUUCUGGCGGGCAUGCCUGUCCGAGCGUCAUUUCAACCAUCAAGCCCCGGGCUUGUGUUGGGGACCUGCGUCCGACGCAGGCCCUGAAAACCAGUGGCGGGCUCGCUGUCCACACCGAGCGUAGUAGCUAACCUCGCUGCGGAGUGGCGCGGGCGCCUGCCGUAAAACCCCCCCACAUCGCAAGGUUGACCUCGGAUCAGGUAGGAAUACCCGCUGAACUUAA
RNAcentral lists this unclassified non-coding RNA (245 nucleotides) under uncultured Sordariales. RNAcentral describes it as "sequence contains 5.8S rRNA gene, ITS2, 28S rRNA gene". The stretch from base 1 to 52 matches the Rfam family "5.8S ribosomal RNA", at positions 103 to 154 of the family's 154-position model. The record is from RNAcentral. Lineage: Eukaryota; Fungi; Ascomycota; Sordariomycetes; Sordariales.